Molecule: transfer RNA, 86 nt
Filed under: Pseudomonadota bacterium
Lineage: Bacteria; Pseudomonadati; Pseudomonadota
Also listed under: 1 other name
Description: tRNA-Leu
Rfam family: tRNA
About the family: Transfer RNA (tRNA) molecules are approximately 80 nucleotides in length. Their secondary structure includes four short double-helical elements and three loops (D, anti-codon, and T loops). Further hydrogen bonds mediate the characteristic L-shaped molecular structure. tRNAs have two regions of fundamental functional importance: the anti-codon, which is responsible for specific mRNA codon recognition, and the 3' end, to which the tRNAs corresponding amino acid is attached (by aminoacyl-tRNA synthetases). tRNAs cope with the degeneracy of the genetic code in two manners: having more than one tRNA (with a specific anti-codon) for a particular amino acid; and 'wobble' base-pairing, i.e. permitting non-standard base-pairing at the 3rd anti-codon position.
Source: RNAcentral
GCUGCGGUGGUGGAAUUAGGUAGACACGCUGGCUUGAGGAGCCAGUGGACGGGGAGUCCGUGCGGGUUCGAGUCCCGCCCGCAGCA